CGCUACUGCGCCGGCGCCGCCGGGAACAACAGGCCUGGUCCCGCUUCCUGGGAUAGCGCUGCGCGCAUGCGCCUUGACGAGUGAGCCGGGGAGCCAUGGACAACUGUUUGGCGGCCGCAGCGCUGAAUGGGGUGGACCGACGUUCCCUGCAGCGCUCAGCAAGGCUGGCUCUAGAAGUGCUGGAGCGGGCCAAGAGGAGGGCGGUGGACUGGCAUGCCCUGGAGCGUCCCAAAGGCUGCAUGGGGGUCCUUGCCCGGGAGGCGCCCCACCUAGAGAGACAGCCGGCAGCCGGCCCGCAGCGCGUUUUCCCGGGAGAGAGAGAAGAGAGACCCCCAACCCUUAGUGCUUCCUUCAGAACAAUGGCUGAAUUCAUGGACUAUACUUCAAGUCAGUGUGGGAAAUAUUAUUCAUCUGUGCCAGAGGAAGGAGGGGCAACCCAUGUCUAUCGUUAUCACAGAGGCAAGUCGAAGCUGCACAUGUGCUCGGACAUAGGGAAUGGUCAGAGAAAAGAUGGAAAAAAGACAUCCCUUGGUCCUGGAGGCAUCUAUCAAAUAUCAGAGUAUGCUCCAGAGGCAUCCCAGCCUGCUGAGAACAUCUCUAAGGACCUCUACAUAGAAGUAUAUCCAGGGACCUAUUCUGUCACUGUGGGCUCAAAUGACUUAACCAAGAAGACUCAUGUGGUAGCAGUUGAUUCUGGACAAAGUGUGGACCUGGUCUUCCCUGUGUGAUGUCGUCCAUCACUGCCUUCACAUCACCUUUUUUUAAAUACAUCUGCAACUCUGCUAAAGCCGGAUCAACCCUGGAGGGCUCUGGGAGCACAGUGUAGGCUGGAAUGACAGACCGCACAGAGAUACACCAAUCAUAAGCCAAACAAUGAAGACCCCUUUCCGCCUUCUCAGGAAGCAAGUCUCUCCACCAAGGUCUACCACCAACAGCCAAGAACAAAGGAAAAAAGAAAGGGGCACCCACUUCCUCCAGAGGGGCAGAGACAGGUAGGACUCCGUUGAGGAGCAGAGGUGUUGUGACCAUUUGGAGUGAGAGAUGUGGACACUGGCAACAAAGGAAGAGAAGUCCAGAUUCCGCUCAUGGGAGGGGCUCGUAUUUGGAGACCUCUGACAGUCACUGCGCACUGGUUAUGUUCCUGGUAUGCAGGCAAGUUUGGAGGUGUCCCCCACAUCCAUACCCCGCUUCUACCAGGUUCUGUUACAGUUGGCAGAUCCAUGGGAAUAGGGAGGCCAGGGUACCACCUCCAGGAGUAGAGUGGUGUCAGUCACCCCUUCCAUCCCCGUCUGGCCCCAGGGGUUGGUUAGGCAAGGGCGUGUUCCUGAACCUCUCCAAUCAGCAGGAAUCUGGAGACUUUGGUUGGGAAUCCUGGGAUAUAGGCUUUCUCUUUCUUUCUACGCCUGAACAAGAAAGCUGAUUGUUCUGAGAGCUUCUGACAGCCUUUUGGGGAGACUGAAGCUAUUCCCAGAGAAAGAGAGGAUAGACCUCAGGAAAUAGAGGGUUGGUUGGUUGGUUGGUUGGUUGGUUUUGAAACAGGGUUGCCCAGGCUGGCCUCAAACUCCUGGACUCAACGGAUCCUUUUUCCUCAGUCUUGCGAGGAGCUCAGACUCCAGACAUGCACCCCCACAUCCAGCUGAAAAUAGGAUAUUGGUGACAGUAUUGAGUCCUACCUGCAGGCAGUGCUGCUACUCUAGGCCUCAGCUGUGUGAGCCAAUAAUUCCCCUAAUUGAUUAUGCCACUUUGAAUUGGGCUGUUUCUUACUUGCAACCAAAAGCCUCUUUGCUAAUGACUGCCCUCCAGAGCAUCACUUCAGGAGAAUAGUCAGGAGAAUGACUGCUGCCCAGGACUGUAUACCGAGGCCAAGUUAUUUGGCACACAAAGUUAAAGUCUGAGAAAGACCCAUGGCCGGGUGCGGUGGCUCACACCUGUAAUCCCAGCAGUUUGGGAGGCCAAGGCAGGUGGAUCACAAGGCCAGGAGAUAGAGAC
Rhinopithecus roxellana (golden snub-nosed monkey) is the source of this 1989-nucleotide RNA transcript. It is a transcript of the gene named A-kinase interacting protein 1, with no coding region annotated. The record is from RefSeq and is a predicted model, not a curated record. The transcript has 8 exons. Lineage: Eukaryota; Metazoa; Chordata; Mammalia; Primates; Cercopithecidae.